GAUGAACGCUGGCGGCGUGCCUAAUACAUGCAAGUCGAGCGAACGGACGAGAAGCUUGCUUCUCUGAUGUUAGCGGCGGACGGGUGAGUAACACGUGGAUAACCUACCUAUAAGACUGGGAUAACUUCGGGAAACCGGAUCUAAUACCGGAUGAUAUUUUGAACCGCAGGGUUCAAAAGUGAAAGACGGUCUUGCUGUCACUUAUAGAUGGAUCCGCGCUGCAUUAGCUAGUUGGUAAGGUAACGGCUUACCAAGGCAACGAUGCAUAGCCGACCUGAGAGGGUGAUCGGCCACACUGGAACUGAGACACGGUCCAGACUCCUACGGGAGGCAGCAGUAGGGAAUCUUCCGCAAUGGGCGAAAGCCUGACGGAGCAACGCCGCGUGAGUGAUGAAGGUCUUCGGAUCGUAAAACUCUGUUAUUAGGGAAGAACAUAUGUGUAAGUAACUGUGCACAUCUUGACGGUACCUAAUCAGAAAGCCACGGCUAACUACGUG
This 497-nucleotide ribosomal RNA is filed under the name uncultured bacterium. RNAcentral's name for it is "partial 16S ribosomal RNA". It matches the Rfam family "Bacterial small subunit ribosomal RNA", at positions 28 to 507 of the family's 1533-position model. The record is from RNAcentral.